ACCAGCAUAAGAAAGCGUACUCUGUGUUGGAGGUGCCGGGGAUUGAACCCGGGGCCUCGUGCAUGCUAAGCACGCGCUCUACCACUGAGCUACACCCCCGUCGGGAACUUCUGUAGAACCAGAUCAAUAUGUAUUUUCUCUCCUCAUUUCACCAAUGGAAGAAAGUACCACAGACGUUUACAGACUUUGGGGAAUAUACACGCUGGCCCAGAAGCGUUUGCCAGUCCAGAUACAAAGGCCAGGAGCGCUGCAGGGGACAGAGCGCCUCUGGCUGAGAACCGUCCUCCACCGUUCUGCGUGGAAACCACAGAGGUGACCGCUCCGCGCGGGCCGAGGCGGGUCUCCCGCAGCCAGAGUCUCCACGGACCCGGGAGGCGACCCCGCCCUCCGACCGUGACGGCCCCAGUGGGCGGGCCUGGGGUCCACUGUCAGUCUCCCUGGCCCUCCGCGGGCGCGCGGGGCUCCGACUCCCCCUCCCCACCUCCCGGGCGGCCAAGCAGCAACACUGCCACCCGCGGGGAGCCCAGCCAGCGACGUGCCACCGUCCCCCGGCAGCCCGCGGAAGGACUUCGGCCAGGAGUGGUUGCUGAUACUGGGAACGCCUGUGUGUGUGAACGCCGAGCUGUGCCCGCGCUCUGAACCUAGGCACGUAGCUUGCUGCAUGCCCUCAGUUAAACGGCUGAACCAAGAAAAACAGAAAGAAUUAAAUGAUACCUGGACUGCCUAGCUUUCAUUGCUGUGUUACCCGGGGCAAGUUACUCAACCUGCCUGUGCUUCCAUUUCUUCAACUGUAAAAUGGGAGUAGUAAUACUCCUUUCUCAAUGAGGAUGUGUUUAACCACUUACCAGUCCAAUUAUUUAAAUACAAGAUGACCAAAAACUGCAUAUUUUUAAA
Chinchilla lanigera (long-tailed chinchilla) is the source of this 894-nucleotide long non-coding RNA. RefSeq lists it as uncharacterized. NCBI's taxonomy places the organism in Eukaryota, Metazoa, Chordata, Mammalia, Rodentia, Chinchillidae. The record is from RefSeq and is a predicted model, not a curated record. The transcript has 3 exons.